AACCCAGCAUCGAACUGCUUCUGAACCUCUUCCUUGAUUUUCACUGCCAUAUCAGGACUUGUUCUACGAAGCUUCUGUUUGACCGAAGGACAAUCAUCUUUGAGAGGUAGUCUAUGAACCACAAUAUCAGUAUUCAGCCCAGCAUAUCUUGAUAAGACCAGGCGAAUAUCUCCAUAUACUCUCUCAGCAUCUCAAUCAACCUGUUCUUGACCUCAGGUUUCAAAGCA
Molecule: long non-coding RNA, 227 nt
Filed under: Lathyrus oleraceus (garden pea)
Lineage: Eukaryota; Viridiplantae; Streptophyta; Magnoliopsida; Fabales; Fabaceae
Description: Pisum sativum (pea) long non-coding RNA (PSAT_LNC041383)
Source: RNAcentral